RNAcentral lists this transfer RNA (69 nucleotides) under Urocitellus parryii (Arctic ground squirrel). RNAcentral's name for it is "Spermophilus parryii (Arctic ground squirrel) tRNA". It matches the Rfam family "tRNA". Rfam says of the family: Transfer RNA (tRNA) molecules are approximately 80 nucleotides in length. Their secondary structure includes four short double-helical elements and three loops (D, anti-codon, and T loops). Further hydrogen bonds mediate the characteristic L-shaped molecular structure. tRNAs have two regions of fundamental functional importance: the anti-codon, which is responsible for specific mRNA codon recognition, and the 3' end, to which the tRNAs corresponding amino acid is attached (by aminoacyl-tRNA synthetases). tRNAs cope with the degeneracy of the genetic code in two manners: having more than one tRNA (with a specific anti-codon) for a particular amino acid; and 'wobble' base-pairing, i.e. permitting non-standard base-pairing at the 3rd anti-codon position. RNAcentral also lists the same sequence under 1 other name. The record is from Rfam by way of RNAcentral. Lineage: Eukaryota; Metazoa; Chordata; Mammalia; Rodentia; Sciuridae.
GGGGUUGUGGCUCAGUGGCAGAGCUCUUGCCUAGCAUGCAUGAGGCACUGGGUUUGAUCCUCAACACCA